Molecule: small RNA, 26 nt
Filed under: Bombyx mori (domestic silkworm)
Lineage: Eukaryota; Metazoa; Arthropoda; Insecta; Lepidoptera; Bombycidae
Description: ovarian small RNA-23147
Source: RNAcentral
UAGUUCUACUUUUAAGGGGUGGUAUU